UACGUAGGGUGCAAGCGUUGUCCGGAAUUAUUGGGCGUAAAGAGCUCGUAGGCGGUCUGUCGCGUCGGCUGUGAAAACUCGGGGCUCAACCCCGAGCCUGCAGUCGAUACGGGCAGACUAGAGUGCUGUAGGGGAGACUGGAAUUUAUGGUGUAGCAGUGAAAUGCGUAGAGAUCAUAAGGAAGACCAGUGGCGAAGGCGGGUCUCUGGACAGUUCCUGACACUGAGGCACGAAGGCCAGGGGAGCAAACGGG
This 253-nucleotide ribosomal RNA is filed under the name uncultured bacterium. Its description in RNAcentral is "partial 16S ribosomal RNA". It matches the Rfam family "Bacterial small subunit ribosomal RNA", at positions 524 to 776 of the family's 1533-position model. The record is from RNAcentral.